Rosa chinensis is the source of this 1186-nucleotide long non-coding RNA. RefSeq lists it as uncharacterized. Lineage: Eukaryota; Viridiplantae; Streptophyta; Magnoliopsida; Rosales; Rosaceae. The transcript is spliced from 4 exons. The record is from RefSeq and is a predicted model, not a curated record.
ACCCCAAAUUUAUCUGCCCAAAGCUGAGCCUUCUCCUUCACACGCAAAACUCAGCUUUUCCUAUUUCCUUGUUCACGUCAGAGUUGGGCAGAGAGAAAGGGAGCCUCGUUCAGCUCUUCCCCUCCACGUUUCCAUCAUGCAAAGGACAACUCCUCCUAGAGAACCAUCUCAGACCUUCAAAAGAGAGAAUCCAGGCCAUCAAUCGUCAUUCACCCUUCUCUUCUCACCUUUCCUCUCGUCCCUGGACACAUCAGUCCGUUUGCGAGCCUCGAAACACCUAGUUCGAGAUCUCCGAUCAGAAAACUUUCUUCAUAAAAGUUGUUCGCUUAUGUCUCCUCUAUCUAGCCUCAAAAUUUCAGCUCCAUCGGAGUUGAUUUGAGUCCUGUACACCCCUCGAAGAAGAAGCUGUUCUGAAAGGAGCCUGUUCCGGAUUUCUGCUUGAAUUCCCUCUCUUGCUCUACCCGAAUCCCCAACACCUUGCUUGAGACUGAUACCAACAGUUGUCUCUGUUUCACUUUGCAUGUUUGAGAUUGAGCAAACUUCUUGGCCUGCAACUAGGCUCGAUCCAAUCAACUCGCUCAGCUCUCUUUCCUGUUGAAUCCCUCAAGAAAAACUCAUCUUUUGGUUAGUCUUUGGCUUGAUGUCUUGGUAGGAUCUUGUGAAGUGGUGGUUGCUACAAGGUUGCAUUGAGGCCAAGUGCUGCAAGAGAAAGCUCGAGUUCCAGUUUGUUUUGCAGGCUGUUGUUGUCGAAGCUUGGGCACGGAGGAUAAUCCUUGGAGGACACAAUUUGUUUUAUUCUAUUUAAAGUUUAUUUCCUUUUGGCUUGCUUGAUUUCACUAAAUUUUUGUAACAUUAUGUAUGGUUGAUGAUGUGUGUGAUUGCUUACCACCAAAGUGGAACCCUAGGGUUAGAACCUCCAUUUGAGUUUAGGUCCUAGUGGGCUAGACCUAGAAGACUCACAUAAAUUACCAUUUAAUGAACUUAAUGCAAACUUGGGCUAAGAACUAAAAAUUGACAUAGGUUCUAAAACUCAACUCAACACCACCUUCCUUUCCUCUUAUUCGCCUAGUUCAUAAUCUUGCGAUUACGAGCCAAGCCCACUAUACAAGCCCAAAAAUUUCGGGCUUAUAGAUUUCUUGAUUUCCAACCUAAAGGCCUUGUCUCUUUGAGGAAUUCUAGGCCCAAA